AAUACAUCGGAACGUGCCUAGUAGUGGGGGAUAACUACUCGAAAGAGUGGCUAAUACCGCAUGAGAUCUACGGAUGAAAGCAGGGGAUCGCAAGACCUUGUGCUACUAGAGCGGCCGAUGGCAGAUUAGGUAGUUGGUGGGAUAAAAGCUUACCAAGCCGACGAUCUGUAGCUGGUCUGAGAGGACGAUCAGCCACACUGGGACUGAGACACGGCCCAGACUCCUACGGGAGGCAGCAGUGGGGAAUUUUGGACAAUGGGCGCAAGCCUGAUCCAGCAAUGCCGCGUGCAGGAUGAAGGCCUUCGGGUUGUAAACUGCUUUUGUACGGAACGAAAAGCCCUGGGUUAAUACCCUGGGGUCAUGACGGUACCGUAAGAAUAAGCACCGGCUAACUACGUGCCAGCAGCCGCGGUAAUACGUAGGGUGCGAGCGUUAAUCGGAAUUACUGGGCGUAAAGCGUGCGCAGGCGGUUUUGUAAGACAGAGGUGAAAUCCCCGGGCUCAACCUGGGAACUGCCUUUGUGACUGCAAGGCUAGAGUACGGCAGAGGGGGAUGGAAUUCCGCGUGUAGCAGUGAAAUGCGUAGGUAUGCGGAGG
RNAcentral lists this ribosomal RNA (596 nucleotides) under uncultured bacterium. RNAcentral's name for it is "bacterial SSU rRNA". It matches the Rfam family "Bacterial small subunit ribosomal RNA", at positions 112 to 704 of the family's 1533-position model. The record is from RNAcentral.